GAUCAUGGCUCAGGAUGAACGCUAGCUACAGGCUUAACACAUGCAAGUCGAGGGGCAGCAUGAACUUAGCUUGCUAAGUUUGAUGGCGACCGGCGCACGGGUGAGUAACGCGUAUCCAACCUGCCUACCACUUGGGGAUAACCUUGCGAAAGUAAGACUAAUACCCAAUGACAUCCCACGAAGACAUCUGAAUGGGAUUAAAGAUUUAUCGGUGAUGGAUGGGGAUGCGU
This 230-nucleotide ribosomal RNA is filed under the name uncultured bacterium. Its description in RNAcentral is "partial 16S ribosomal RNA". It matches the Rfam family "Bacterial small subunit ribosomal RNA", at positions 15 to 236 of the family's 1533-position model. The record is from RNAcentral.